Molecule: ribosomal RNA, 543 nt
Filed under: uncultured low G+C Gram-positive bacterium
Lineage: Bacteria; Bacillati; Bacillota
Description: bacterial SSU rRNA
Rfam family: Bacterial small subunit ribosomal RNA
Source: RNAcentral
AAGAACCUUACCAGGUCUUGACAUCCCGCUGACCGGUAUAGAGAUAUACCUUUCCCUUCGGGGACAGCGGUGACAGGUGGUGCAUGGUUGUCGUCAGCUCGUGUCGUGAGAUGUUGGGUUAAGUCCCGCAACGAGCGCAACCCUUGAUCUUAGUUGCCAGCAUUCAGUUGGGCACUCUAAGGUGACUGCCGGUGACAAACCGGAGGAAGGUGGGGAUGACGUCAAAUCAUCAUGCCCCUUAUGACCUGGGCUACACACGUGCUACAAUGGAUGGUACAAAGGGCUGCAAGACCGCGAGGUUUAGCCAAUCCCAUAAAACCAUUCUCAGUUCGGAUUGCAGGCUGCAACUCGCCUGCAUGAAGCUGGAAUCGCUAGUAAUCGCGGAUCAGCAUGCCGCGGUGAAUACGUUCCCGGGCCUUGUACACACCGCCCGUCACACCACGAGAGUUUGCAACACCCGAAGUCGGUGGGGUAACCCUUACGGGAGCCAGCCGCCGAAGGUGGGGCAGAUGAUUGGGGUGAAGUCGUAACAAGGUAGCCGUA